This 274-nucleotide ribosomal RNA is filed under the name uncultured bacterium. RNAcentral describes it as "partial 16S ribosomal RNA". It matches the Rfam family "Bacterial small subunit ribosomal RNA", at positions 523 to 796 of the family's 1533-position model. The record is from RNAcentral.
AUACGGAGGGUGCAAGCGUUACUCGGAAUCACUGGGCGUAAAGCGCGCGCAGGCGGGCUGAUAAGUUGGAUGUGAAAGCCUACGGCUCAACCGUAGAACUGCAUCCAAAACUGUCAGUCUAGAGUGUGCGAGAGGAAGAUGGAAUUAGUUGUGUAGGGGUAAAAUCCGUAGAGAUAACUAGGAAUACCAAAAGCGAAGGCAAUCUUCUGGAACACUACUGACGCUGAGGCGCGAAGGCGUGGGGAGCAAACAGAAUUAGAAACCCCUGUAGUCC